UAUUUUUAUAUAUUGCUAAAUUUAUUUUUUAAUAUUUUCCUAAAGAUUUUUGUAUCUAUAUUCACAAGAGUUAUUGGUCUGUAGUUUUCCUUUAUGGGGAAGCAGGGCAUGAACCCAGGGGCACUUUCCCACUUAAAAACUACAUUCCCAAUCCUUUUUCUUUGAGACAGGGUGUCACUAAACUGCCCAGGCUGCUUCAAACUUGCCAUCCUCCUGCUUCAGCCUCCUGAGUGGCAGGGAUUGCAGGUGAGCGCCACCCCACACACUGUAGUUUUCCAGCUUUAUGCUGUCUUUUUCUGGUUUUAUUAUCAAGGUGAAACUAGUUUGUAAAAUUAAUUAGAAAGUACUCUCCUUUUUCCUAGAAGAAAUUGUGUAAAAUUCUAUUAGUUCUUCUUACUCAUUUACUAGAAUCCUAUAGUGAAAUCAUCUCAAUCUGGAGACUUCUUUUUUGGAAGUUUUAAAAUUACAAAUUCAGUUACCUUAAUAGUUAUGGGACUAUUUGAAUUAUUCAUUUCAUCUCAGGUGAGUUGUGAUAAUUUAUGCUUUUUGACUAUUUAGAUCUAUAGUGUAUGUAAUGAUCCUCUGUUUCAUUUCAGAUAUUGGUAAUUACUGUCUUCUCUCUUUUUUUUCAGUCUUUCUAGAAAUUUAUUAAUUUUAUUGAUCUUUCCCAAAAAUCUUUGUUUGAUUUUCUUUCCU
Molecule: long non-coding RNA, 696 nt
Filed under: Marmota monax (woodchuck)
Lineage: Eukaryota; Metazoa; Chordata; Mammalia; Rodentia; Sciuridae
Source: RNAcentral